This 253-nucleotide ribosomal RNA is filed under the name uncultured bacterium. RNAcentral's name for it is "partial 16S ribosomal RNA". It matches the Rfam family "Bacterial small subunit ribosomal RNA", at positions 524 to 776 of the family's 1533-position model. The record is from RNAcentral.
CACGUAGGGCGCGAGCGUUGUCCGGAAUUAUUGGGCGUAAAGAGCUCGUAGGCGGCCUGUUGCGUCCGCUGUGAAAGCCCGGGGCUUAACCCCGGGUCUGCAGUGGAUACGGGCAGGCUAGAGGUAGGUAGGGGAGAAUGGAAUUCCCGGUGUAGCGGUGAAAUGCGCAGAUAUCAGGAGGAACACCGGUGGCGAAGGCGGGUCUCUGGGCAACAACUGACGCUGAGGAGCGAAAGCGUGGGGAGCGAACAGG